Long non-coding RNA from Eleginops maclovinus (Patagonian blennie), 521 nucleotides. RefSeq lists it as uncharacterized. The record is from RefSeq and is a predicted model, not a curated record. Lineage: Eukaryota; Metazoa; Chordata; Actinopteri; Perciformes; Eleginopidae. The transcript has 3 exons.
AAAGGGUGCAUCUUUUGCAAAGGCCUGAGAAAAUGUCCCUCCAGCAGCAGCACCCUCAUCACAGAUACACACUCCCAACUACCAUCAACAAAGAAGCUGCCAAGCUAUCCGUAGCAAGUCAUGCAAAAUCCAGAGACCUGGAUUACUCCAAAUAGACGUGCAGUUUGCUAAGGGGAACUCACCUGGACCACAUCACAAAAUGCCCAACUAUUUUGUCAUUAUUCUAUCUCCUUCUUCAUGUAGCCUUAAUCAUCUUCUUUUAAAAAUUCAGAUUUUUUGUCUCCCAGUUUUUGUUCCUAUCUAUUUUCUUUUCAAACUUCCAAAAAAAAUUCUUCCUAAAACAUUUGACUUUUAUUUUCAAAUUUCUGGAUUUUUUUUCUAAAUGUUGACUUUUCUAAAUGUCCGAUCAUUUUUUCAAAAUUAUGGAGGCAAGGAUUCUCCAAAAACACCUAAUUGACAGGCAGUAAGUUCUAAACCUACCUACCUUACCUUGUUUCUGUACAAAUGCUUGAGGAGAGACA